This 254-nucleotide ribosomal RNA is filed under the name uncultured bacterium. Its description in RNAcentral is "partial 16S ribosomal RNA". It matches the Rfam family "Bacterial small subunit ribosomal RNA", at positions 524 to 776 of the family's 1533-position model. The record is from RNAcentral.
UACGGGGGGAGCAAGCGUUGUUCGGAUUUACUGGGCGUAAAGGGCGCGUAGGCGGCCACCGCAAGUCGACUGUGAAAUCUCCGGGGUUAACCCGGAAAGGUCAGCCGAUACUGCGGGGCUAGAGUGCAGAAGGGGCAGCUGGAAUUCUCGGUGUAGCGGUGAAAUGCGUAGAUAUCGAGAGGAACACCUGCGGCGAAGGCGGGUUGCUGGGCUGACACUGACGCUGAUGCGCGAAAGCUAGGGGAGCGAACGGG